This is a non-coding RNA of Triticum aestivum (bread wheat), 126 nucleotides long. NCBI's taxonomy places the organism in Eukaryota, Viridiplantae, Streptophyta, Magnoliopsida, Poales, Poaceae. The record is from Rfam.
CUAAUACUCCCUCCGUCCCAAAUUACUUGUCGCAGAAAUGGAUAGAAAUGGAUGUAUCUAGAAGUAAAAAUACGCCUAGAUACAUCCAUUUAUGCAACAAAUAAUUCGGGACAGACGAAGUAUGUU